GCUUGUCUCAAAGAUUAAGCCAUGCAUGUCUAAGUAUAAACGAAUUUAUACUGUGAAACUGCGAAUGGCUCAUUAUAUCAGUUAUAGUUUAUUUGAUGGUCCUUACUACUUGGAUAACCGUAGUAAUUCUAGAGCUAAUACAUGCACCAAGCCCUGACUUUGAAGGGGUGUAUUUAUUAGAUGGAAACCAAUGCGGGGCAACCCGGUUCUUGGUGAAUCAGAAUAACUGAACGGAUCGCAUGGCCUUGUGCCGGCGAUGAAUCAUUCAAAUUUCUGCCCUAUCAACUUUCGAUGGUAAGGUAUUGGCUUACCAUGGUUACAACGGGUAACGGGGAAUUAGGGUUCGAUUCCGGAGAGGGGGCCUGAGAAAUGGCCACCACUUCCAAGGAAGGCAGCAGG
This 399-nucleotide ribosomal RNA is filed under the name uncultured Salpingoecidae. Its description in RNAcentral is "partial small subunit ribosomal RNA". It matches the Rfam family "Eukaryotic small subunit ribosomal RNA", at positions 30 to 432 of the family's 1831-position model. The record is from RNAcentral. Lineage: Eukaryota; Choanoflagellata; Craspedida; Salpingoecidae.